Molecule: transfer RNA, 74 nt
Filed under: Chloroflexota bacterium
Lineage: Bacteria; Bacillati; Chloroflexota
Description: tRNA-Ala
Source: RNAcentral
AGAUCCAUUCUCUCGCAACGUAGAGCACCUGCAUGGCAUGCAGGGGGUCAGGAGUUCGAGUCUCCUUGGCUCCA